This 486-nucleotide ribosomal RNA is filed under the name uncultured bacterium. Its description in RNAcentral is "partial 16S ribosomal RNA". It matches the Rfam family "Bacterial small subunit ribosomal RNA", at positions 30 to 507 of the family's 1533-position model. The record is from RNAcentral.
AUUGAACGCUGGCGACAUGCCUUACACAUGCAAGUCGAACGGCAGCACGGGUGCUUGCCCCUGGUGGCGAGUGGCGAACGGGUGAGUAAUAAAUCGGAACAUGUCCGGUAGUUGGGGAUAGCCCGGCGAAAGCCGGAUUAAUACCGCAUACGAUCCACGGCUGAAAGCGGGGGACCUUCCGGACUCGCGCUUUCGGGUUGGCCGAUGGAUGAUUAGCUAGUUGGUGGGGUAAAGGCCUACCAAGGCGACGAUCAGUAGCUGGUCUGAGAGGACGACCAGUCACACUGGGACUGAGACACGGCCCAGACUCCUACGGGAGGCAGCAGUGGGGAAUUUUGGACAAUGGGCGAAAGCCUGAUCCAGCAAUGCCGCGUGUGUGAAGAAGGCCUUCGGGUUGUAAAGCACUUUUGUCCGGAAAGAAAUCCUUGGCCCUAAUACGGUCGGGGGAUGACGGUACCGGAAGAAUAAGCACCGGCUAACUACGUG